UUCGAAGCGGUUAGUGGCGGACUGGUGAGUAACACGUAAGCAACCUACCUAUUAGAGGGGAAUAACAGUGAGAAAUCACUGCUAAAACCGCAUAUGCCGUGAAUAUCGCAUGAUAAAAACGGGAAAAGAGCAAUCUGCUAAUAGAUGGGCUUGCGUCUGAUUAGCUAGUUGGUGUGGUAAAGGCAUACCAAGGCAACGAUCAGUAGCCGGACUGAGAGGUUGAACGGCCACAUUGGGACUGAGAUACGGCCCAGACUCCUACGGGAGGCAGCAGUCGGGAAUAUUGCGCAAUGGAGGAAACUCUGACGCAGUGACGCCGCGUAUGGGAAGAAGGUUUUCGGAUUGUAAACCAUUUUAGACAAGGAAGAAACAAGACAGUACUUGUAGAAUAAGCUCCGGCUAACUACGUGCCAGCAGCCGCGGUAAUACGUAGGGAGCAAGCGUUAUCCGGAUUUAUUGGGUGUAAAGGGUGCGUAGACGGGAAGGUAAGUUAGUUGUGAAAUCCCUCGGCUCAACUGAGGAACUGCGACUAAAACUGCUUUUCUUGAGUGCUGGAGAGGAAAGUGGAAUUCCUAGUGUAGCGGUGAAAUGCGUAGAUAUUAGGAGGAACACCAGUGGCGAAGGCGACUUUCUGGACAGCAACUGAC
RNAcentral lists this ribosomal RNA (647 nucleotides) under uncultured Lachnospiraceae bacterium. RNAcentral's name for it is "bacterial SSU rRNA". It matches the Rfam family "Bacterial small subunit ribosomal RNA", at positions 82 to 744 of the family's 1533-position model. Lineage: Bacteria; Bacillati; Bacillota; Clostridia; Lachnospirales; Lachnospiraceae. The record is from RNAcentral.